GUUUAUGUAUUGAUGAUAGGUACAUUUCAAUUCAUGAGGUGAGAAUGGAUUAUUUAUUUAGGUAACUAAGAAAAAGAAUCAGUAAACUACCUAUCAUAUCUAAUUCUCAACGCCAUAGUACCUUUAAGCCAACAAUCCUCAGCACUUGAAUAAAUUCACAGCAUACGAGAAUCAAACCCGUAACCUCUGGCUCUGAUACCUGCACACAUUUGCAGCAUGCAGGAAUCGAACCCGUAACCUCUGGCUCUGAUACCACUUGAAACAACCGUUGUACUCUAAAAGCUUAAGCUGUUAGAGAACGAUGUUUAAACAUUUUUAUAUUUAACAUCACUUGUUGUCGGAUCGUUGGCGUUAAUCAUUAAUCCCAAAUACGUAACCGAUUUAUUUAAAAAGUACAGAUACAACACCUACAAAUUUCGAUAGUGACUCGGUUCAACUAUUCUUACGCUACUUUGAAUAUAACUCGGCCCAACAUGAUCUUCCGCCUCAGAACAAGAUGCCGACCUCUUUAAGCCAACAAUCCUUGAUCUAUACCGACGACUCCAUUUUACGU
This 553-nucleotide long non-coding RNA is filed under the name Ananas comosus (pineapple). RNAcentral describes it as "long non-coding RNA (ACOM_LNC028543)". The record is from RNAcentral. Lineage: Eukaryota; Viridiplantae; Streptophyta; Magnoliopsida; Poales; Bromeliaceae.